AUUAGAUACCCUAUUAUUUUUAAUGUAAACAAAUUAAACUAGAGUAUUAGUAGCUAUGAUCUUUAAACUUAAAGAAUUUGGCGGUAUUAUAAUCUAUUUAGAGGAAUCUGUUAUGUAAUCGAUAGACCACGUUGAACCUUACUUAUAUUAUUUCUUGUAUACCGCUGUUUUUGAAUAUACUUUUAGGUUAUUUUCUUGAUAUAUAAUAAUAUAAUAUUUCAAGUCAAGGUGCAGUAAUAUAUAAGUUGAAUAAUGGAUUACAAUAAAUUUUAUUUAUAUGGAUUAUUUAUUGAAAUAUAAUUUGAAGGUGGAUUUAAUUGUAAUUUUUUAAAUAUUAUUAAAAUGAUAUUAGUUCUAUAAUAUGUACACAUCGCCCG
This 377-nucleotide ribosomal RNA is filed under the name Amantis biroi. RNAcentral's name for it is "partial 12S ribosomal RNA". Lineage: Eukaryota; Metazoa; Arthropoda; Insecta; Mantodea; Gonypetidae. The record is from RNAcentral.